GACGAACGCUGGCGGCGUGCUUAACACAUGCAAGUCGAGCGGUAAGGCCCUUUCGGGGGUACGACGAGCGGCGAACGGGUGAGUAACACGUGGGUGACCUGCCCUCCAGCUCUGGGAUAAGCCUGGGAAACCGGGGUCUAAUACUGGAUAUGACUCCAUGACGCAUGUUGUGGGGUGGAAAGCCUUGUGCGGCUGAGGAUGGGCCCGCGGCCUAUCAGCUUGUUGGUGGGGUGAUGGCCUACCAAGGCGACGACGGGUAGCCGGCCUGAGAGGGCGACCGGCCACACUGGGACUGAGACACGGCCCAGACUCCUACGGGAGGCAGCAGUGGGGAAUCUUGCGCAAUGGGCGAAAGCCUGACGCAGCGACGCCGCGUGAGGGAUGACGGCCUCGGUGUAACUACUUC
This 406-nucleotide ribosomal RNA is filed under the name uncultured bacterium. Its description in RNAcentral is "bacterial SSU rRNA". It matches the Rfam family "Bacterial small subunit ribosomal RNA", at positions 28 to 433 of the family's 1533-position model. The record is from RNAcentral.